AGUGGACGCUGGCGGUAGGCCUAACACAUGCAAGUCGAACGGCAGCACAGUAAGAGCUUGCUCUUACGGGUGGCGAGUGGCGGACGGGUGAGGAAUACAUCGGAAUCUACUUUUUCGUGGGGGAUAACGUAGGGAAACUUACGCUAAUACCGCAUACGACCUACGGGUGAAAGCAGGGGAUCUUCGGACCUUGCGCGAUUGAAUGAGCCGAUGUCGGAUUAGCUAGUUGGCGGGGUAAAGGCCCACCAAGGCGACGAUCCGUAGCUGGUCUGAGAGGAUGAUCAGCCACACUGGAACUGAGACACGGUCCAGACUCCUACGGGAGGCAGCAGUGGGGAAUAUUGGACAAUGGGCGCAAGCCUGAUCCAGCCAUACCGCGUGGGUGAAGAAGGCCUUCGGGUUGUAAAGCCCUUUUGUUGGGAAAGAAAGGCAGCAGGUUAAUACCCCGCUGUUCUGACGGUACCCAAAGAAUAAGCACCGGCUAACUUCGUG
This 492-nucleotide ribosomal RNA is filed under the name uncultured bacterium. Its description in RNAcentral is "partial 16S ribosomal RNA". It matches the Rfam family "Bacterial small subunit ribosomal RNA", at positions 29 to 507 of the family's 1533-position model. The record is from RNAcentral.